RNAcentral lists this ribosomal RNA (327 nucleotides) under uncultured Cercozoa. RNAcentral's name for it is "SSU rRNA". The stretch from base 107 to 327 matches the Rfam family "Eukaryotic small subunit ribosomal RNA", at positions 733 to 955 of the family's 1831-position model. Lineage: Eukaryota; Cercozoa. The record is from RNAcentral.
GAUUUCUGACAUUAAUGCGCUUGGCCCGCUACGGUUACGUAUGUGAGUGCCGAGUCGUGUUUGUCAUCCUUCUAGAAAAUGUUUAUUUGCUCUUCAUUGAGUUUAAUUCUCACGAUCUAGAUCUUUUACUUUGAAAAAAUUAGAGUGUUUAAAGCAGGCGUUUGCUAUGAAUACAUUAGCAUGGAAUAAUAAUUUAGGACUUUGGUUCUAUUUUGUUGGUUUCUAGAACUGAAGUAAUGAUUGAUAGGGAUGGUUGGGGGUGCUCGUAUUCAGUGGCCAGAGGUGAAAUUCUCGGAUUCACUGAAGACGAACUUAUGCGAAAGCAUU